AUCAGACAAUAAGGGCACACGGUGGAUGUCUUGGCAUCGAGAGGCGAUGAAGGACGCGUGAACCUGCGAUAAGCCCAAGGGAGCUGGUAACAGAGCUGUGAUCUUGGGAUUUCCGAAUGGGGCAACCCACCCGCAAGGGUACCUGACUCUGAAUGCAUAGGGGUCAGGAGCGAACCUAGGGAAGUGAAACAUCUCAGUACCUAGAGGAAAAGAAAGCAAAAGCGAUUCCGUGAGUAGCGGCGAGCGAAAGCGGAUAAAGCGAUCUCGCGGAGGAAGGUGUUGGAAUGCACCGCCUCAGAAGGUGAAAGCCCUGUACCCGCGAUCGUGGAGCCCACGAGUAAACUCGGGCUCGUGAAACCCGGGUUGAACAUGGGGGGUCCAUCCUCCAAGGCUAAAUACUACUCGAUGACCGAUAGUGAACCAGUAAGGCGACUGAACGAUAAAAAGAACCGCGACGAGCGGAGUGAAAGAGAUCUGAAACCGUGUGCUUACAAGCGGUCGGAGCUCGUAAGAGUGACGGCGUGCUUUUUGCAUAAUGAGCCGACGAGUUGGUCUAUGCGGCGAGCCUAAGGCCCAACGGGCCGGAGGCGGAGCGAAAGCGAGUCCGAAACGGGCGACAAGUCGCAUGGGCCAGACGCGAAACCUUGUGAUCUACCGUUGGUCAGACUGAAGGGCGGGUAAAACCGCCUGGAGGGUCGAACGCGUGACCGUUGAAAAGGUCUGCGAUGAACUGACGGGAGGCGGUCAAAGUCCAAUCAAACUGGGAGAUAGCUCGUUCUCUCCGAAAUAACUUUAGGGUUAGCCUCCGGGAGCAAACUGUGGAGGUAGAGCUACUGGAUGAUUGCAGGGGUCUACCCGACUACCUCGAUCAACCAAACUCCGAAUGCCACAGUCCAAGCCCGGGGAGAUAGACGGCGAGUGACAAUAUCCGUCGUCAAAAGGAGAAAAAUCCAGACCGCCGGCUAAGGCCCCCAAUCUGUGCUUAGUUCGAAAGGAAGUCACGUUGCGGAGACAGCCAGGAUGUUGGCUUAGAAGCAGCCAUCAUUUAAAGAGUGCGUAACAGCUCACUGGCCGAGGAAUGUGGCGCCGAUAAUGAUCGGGAAUAAGCAUGGAGCCGAAGCCGCGGACUCGAAAGAGUGGUAGGAGAGCGUUCUUGGUGCGGUGAAGUCGUCCCGGAAGGGUAGAUGGAGCGCUAAGAAGUGCAUAUGUCGGCUUGAGUAACGAUAAACACGGUGAAAAUCCGUGUCGCCGUAAGCCCAAGGGUUCCUGGGGCAGGGAAAUCCGCCCAGGGUUAGCCGGGUCCUAAGGCAAGGCCGAGAGGCGUAGUCGAUGGAUAGCAGGUUAAUAUUCCUGCGCUCUCGCGGAGAUCAAACCAUGGUUCGGAUUGCCGGACUCUGGCGAGGAGACAGAUCCUCAAGCCAGGGAAAGGGAGUCUCUAGAAAAGCCAUGGGGGCAAAGCGAGACCCGUACCAAAACUGACACAGGUGGGCGAGGCGAAUAGCCUCAGGCGCUCGAGAGAACGGUCGUGAAGGAACUAGGCAAUAUAACCCCGUAAGUUCGCAAUAAGGGGGCCCUCGCCGCAAGGCAGGGCGCAGAGAAGAGGAUCUGGGAACUGUUUAUCAAAAACACAGCACUGUGCCAACUCGCAAGAGGAAGUAUACAGUGUGACGCUUGCCCAAUACUGGAAUGUCAAGGAAGUGGCUCAGCGCAAGCGAAGGUCAUGACCGAAGCACCAGUGAAUGGCGGCCGUAACUAUAACGGUCCUAAGGUAGCGAAGUUCCUUGUCGGGUAAGUUCCGACGCGCAUGAAUAGCGUAAUCACUGGAUCACUGUCUCCACGACCGACUCGGU
Molecule: ribosomal RNA, 1850 nt
Filed under: Phycisphaerales bacterium UBA2396
Lineage: Bacteria; Pseudomonadati; Planctomycetota; Phycisphaerae; Phycisphaerales
Description: bacterial LSU rRNA
Rfam family: Bacterial large subunit ribosomal RNA
Source: RNAcentral